RNAcentral lists this ribosomal RNA (449 nucleotides) under uncultured bacterium. Its description in RNAcentral is "bacterial SSU rRNA". It matches the Rfam family "Bacterial small subunit ribosomal RNA", at positions 355 to 796 of the family's 1533-position model. The record is from RNAcentral.
UCGAGAAUCUUUCGCAAUGGGCGCAAGCCUGACGAAGCGACGCCGUGUGAGCGAAGAAGGCCUUCGGGUUGUAAAGCUCUUUCGCUAGGGAACAAGAGAAUUGGGAUAACACCCCGAUAAUUUGAUGGUACUUGGUAAAGAAGCACCGGCUAACUCCGUGCCAGCAGCUGCGGUAAUACGGAGGGUGCAAGCAUUGAUCGGAAUUACUGGGCGUAAAGGGCGCGUAGGCGGCACUAUAAGUCUGAUGUGAAAUUCCGUGGCUCAACCACGGAGCUGCAUUAGAAACUAUGGAGCUAGAGUACAGUUAGGGAAAACGGAAUUCCACAUGUAGCGGUGAAAUGCGUAGAUAUGUGGAGGAACACCGGUGGUGAAGACGGUUUUCUGGGCUGAAACUGACGCUGAGGCGCGAAAGCAUGGGGAGCAAACAGGAUUAGAUACCCGGGUAGUCC